Molecule: ribosomal RNA, 253 nt
Filed under: uncultured bacterium
Lineage: Bacteria
Description: partial 16S ribosomal RNA
Rfam family: Bacterial small subunit ribosomal RNA
Source: RNAcentral
UACGUAGGGGGCAAGCGUUGUCCGGAGUUACUGGGCGUAAAGGGCAUGCAGGCGGUCGGACGCGUUUGCUGUGACAGCGGAGGGCUUAACUCUCCGAGCAUAGGAAAGACGGUUUGACUUGAGAGCGCGAGAGGGACACGGAAUUCCGGGUGGAGUGGUGAAAUGCGUAGAGAUCCGGAGGAACACCGAAGGCGAAGGCAGUGUCCUGGCGCGUAUCUGACGCUGAGGUGCGAAAGCCAGGGGAGCGAACGGG